GAAAAUCUAACCUAGUGCCUCUGGGCAAGUGCUGAGUACACUAACCUCCAUUACUGUGGGUCUGAAAUGUGAGCACAGUCCUGACAGUGAAGGCUGGAGCCUUCUCUCCUCUAGUCAAAGACCUGCUACUCUGCUCUGCAGGAAUGGGGAGGAGAAUGGAGUGGGUUGCUGUCUGUGCCCUUGAAAAGUGGCAACUGGAACUGACCUUAAAUGUUGUUCCAAAUGUGGGCGACGCUUGAACUAGCUGUUUGCUUUGUCAAGAUCAGGAGCAUCUGACCGUCACAAGGGAAAAAUCAGAAGAUUGAUUGAGACAUUUGGCUGAAUGGAAUGGAAACUCCUCGGUGGUGCCUGUAUCCAAGACAACCAUGUCAAGAGACAGAGGCUGGCCAUGGCCACUGCCAAGCAGAAAGCCUGGAAAAGUGAAGAAAGGCCUGAUUGAUCACAAGAUUCUAUCAGAUGUCGAAGCUGGCCCUAGCUGACCUUGCAUGUACCCAGAACUGCCUGAUUUAAUCUCUACAUUAGCAGCUUCUCCUGGCUGGGAGUUCUAUCUGCAAGCCAUGCAUCAGCAUUGAGCUAUGACCUGAGUCAUGCUCCAUUCAUCUUCUCUGAAGGAAGGAAAUUAAACUAGAGGUUUGAAAGAGGAAAGUGUUCAAAAUACAUUCACAUUAGCUGACGCCUUGUGUGUGGGUGCAUUUGAGGAGCUUGAGCAACCAAUAAAAAUGAUAUGAAAAUGUAAUUGACCUUGACUCCACUGGUAA
This 758-nucleotide long non-coding RNA is filed under the name Rattus norvegicus (Norway rat). RNAcentral's name for it is "long non-coding RNA NONRATT032712". Lineage: Eukaryota; Metazoa; Chordata; Mammalia; Rodentia; Muridae. The record is from RNAcentral.